GCCGGUGUGGUGCAGUGGUUAACAUGUGGGACUAAGACCUGGGAGAUCAGGGUUCGAAUCACCCCUCAGCCACUGGUG
Molecule: non-coding RNA, 78 nt
Organism: Podarcis lilfordi (Lilford's wall lizard)
Lineage: Eukaryota; Metazoa; Chordata; Lepidosauria; Squamata; Lacertidae
Source: the annotation of a GenBank genome assembly